This 440-nucleotide ribosomal RNA is filed under the name uncultured bacterium. RNAcentral describes it as "bacterial SSU rRNA". It matches the Rfam family "Bacterial small subunit ribosomal RNA", at positions 337 to 794 of the family's 1533-position model. The record is from RNAcentral.
GCCUACGGGGGGCAGCAGUGGGGAAUAUUGGACAAUGGGCGCAAGCCUGAUCCAGCCAUGCCGCGUGAGUGAUGAAGGCCCUAGGGUUGUAAAGCUCUUUUGUGCGGGAAGAUAAUGACGGUACCGCAAGAAUAAGCCCCGGCUAACUUCGUGCCAGCAGCCGCGGUAAUACGAAGGGGGCUAGCGUUGCUCGGAAUCACUGGGCGUAAAGGGUGCGUAGGCGGGUCUUUAAGUCAGGGGUGAAAUCCUGGAGCUCAACUCCAGAACUGCCUUUGAUACUGAAGAUCUUGAGUCCGGGAGAGGUGAGUGGAACUGCGAGUGUAGAGGUGAAAUUCGUAGAUAUUCGCAAGAACACCAGUGGCGAAGGCGGCUCACUGGCCCGGUACUGACGCUGAGGCACGAAAGCGUGGGGAGCAAACAGGAUUAGAUACCCCGGUAGA